AUUCCCUCUUUCUUCGUGCCUCCUCCCUGCCAGUCGAGCGCCCAGACGAGGAGCUUGCUCCUCUGACGUUAGCGGCGGACGGGUGAGUAACACGUGGAUAACCUACCUAUAAGACUGGGAUAACUUCGGGAAACCGGAGCUAAUACCGGAUAAUAUAUUGAACCGCAUGGUUCAAUAGUGAAAGACGGUUUUGCUGUCACUUAUAGAUGGAUCCGCGCCGCAUUAGCUAGUUGGUAAGGUAACGGCUUACCAAGGCAACGAUGCGUAGCCGACCUGAGAGGGUUAUCGGCCACACUGGAACUGAGACACGGUCCAGACUCCUACGGGAGGCAGCAGUAGGGAAUCUUCCGCAAUGGGCGAAAGCCUGACGGAGCAACGCCGCGUGAGUGAUGAAGGUCUUCGGAUCGUAAAACUCUGUGAUUAGGGAAGAACAAAUGUGUAAGUAACUAUGCACGUCUUGACGGUACCUAAUCAGAAAGCCACGGCUAACUACGUG
RNAcentral lists this ribosomal RNA (496 nucleotides) under uncultured bacterium. Its description in RNAcentral is "partial 16S ribosomal RNA". It matches the Rfam family "Bacterial small subunit ribosomal RNA", at positions 36 to 507 of the family's 1533-position model. The record is from RNAcentral.